GAUGAACGCUGGCGGCGUGCCUAAUACAUGCAAGUCGAGCGAACAGACGAUGAGCUUGCUCCUCUGACGUUAGCGGCGGACGGGUGAGUAACACGUGGAUAACCUACCUAUAAGACUGGUAAAACUUCGGGAAACCGGAGCUAAUACCGGAUAAUAUCUUGAACCGCAUGGUUCAAUAGUGAAAGUCGGUUUUGCUGUCACUUAUAGAUGGAUCCGCGCCGCAUUAGCUAGUUGGUAAGGUAACGGCUUACCAAGGCGAGGAUGCGUAGCCGACCUGAGAGAGUGAUAGGCCACACUGGAACUGGGACACGCUCCAGACUCCUAAGGGAGGCAGCAGUAGGGUAUCGUCCGCAAUGGGCGAGAGCAUGACGGAGCAACGCCGCGUGAGUGAUGAAGGUCUUCGGAGCGUAAAACUCUGUUAUUAGGGAAGAACAAAUGUGUAAGUAACUAUGCACGUAUUGACGGUACCUAAUCAGAAAGCCACGGCUAACUACGUG
RNAcentral lists this ribosomal RNA (497 nucleotides) under uncultured bacterium. RNAcentral describes it as "partial 16S ribosomal RNA". It matches the Rfam family "Bacterial small subunit ribosomal RNA", at positions 28 to 507 of the family's 1533-position model. The record is from RNAcentral.